UUCGUCGUCGUUGUCCGAAGACACAUUGGUUUUUCGCACUCUAACUUUAGUUUAAGUGAAUGGAUCUCUAUGAAAUUUUACCAUAAGGUUCAAUACCACGAAAGGAAGGUUGGGAUUGAUUUUGGGGGUUAUGGUACCAA
This is a long non-coding RNA of Mytilus californianus (California mussel), 140 nucleotides long. RefSeq lists it as uncharacterized. The record is from RefSeq and is a predicted model, not a curated record. NCBI's taxonomy places the organism in Eukaryota, Metazoa, Mollusca, Bivalvia, Mytilida, Mytilidae. The transcript is spliced from 2 exons.